Molecule: unclassified non-coding RNA, 338 nt
Filed under: Hevea brasiliensis (rubber tree)
Lineage: Eukaryota; Viridiplantae; Streptophyta; Magnoliopsida; Malpighiales; Euphorbiaceae
Source: RNAcentral
UUUCUGAAUAAGAUCCAUCCUUCCUUGCACAUCUCUUAAACACACUUCGAUCUAAUUUCAUGAAUCAGUCUAUUUUAAUGACUUGGGUAUUAUUAUCUCAAAAAAGAAAGAAGAUGUUGGUAAUUAGAGAUGUUGUCUUUGUCUUGCAUUUUCACAUGUCACGUAAAUGCUCGCACUCAUUGGUUUCAGAUUAAAAUGGUUAGAUUUUUCUCUGGUUGUCAAAUGUAAUUGACUUACAGUUUUAGAUACUUUUGUCAUGGACAUUUAACAUUAAUAUUUUUAACUUGUUUAACUUGCUUUGUCUCUCAAAUCUCAAACUUGAAUUGUAUGGGUUCUUG